CCCUUAGAGUUUGAUCCUGGCUCAGAAUCAACGCUGGCGGCGUGCCUAACACAUGCAAGUCGAACGCGAAAGGGGCUUCGGCCCUGAGUAGAGUGGCAAACGGGUGAGUAACACGUGGGUGACCUGCCUCAGAGUGGGGGAUAACGUUCCGAAAGGAGCGCUAAUACCGCAUGACAUCCUGCGCUUGGAAGCGCGGUGAUUAAAGCCGGGGAUCGCAAGACCUGGCGCUUGGAGAGGGGCCCGCGGCCGAUUAGCUAGUUGGUGGGGUAAUGGCUCACCAAGGCAACGAUCGGUAUCCGGCCUGAGAGGGCGGACGGACACACUGGGACUGAGACACGGCCCAGACUCCUACGGGAGGCAGCAGUGGGGAAUUGUUCGCAAUGGGCGCAAGCCUGACGACGCAACGCCGCGUGGAGGAUGAAGAUCUUCGGGUCGUAAACUCCUUUCGAUCGGGAAGAACAGUUCCCGGGUCAAUAACCCGGGAGUUUGACGGUACCGAGAGAAGAAGCCCCGGCUAACUCCGUGCCAGCAGCCGCGGUAAUACGGGGGGGGCAAGCGUUGUUCGGAAUUACUGGGCGUAAAGGGCUCGUAGGCGGCCAACUAAGUCGGAUGUGAAAUCCCCAAGCUUAACUUGGGAACUGCAUCCGAUACUGGAUGGCUUGAAUCCGGGAGAGGGAUGCAGAAUUCCAGGUGUAGCGGUGAAAUGCGUAGAUAUCUGGAGGAAUACCGGUGGCGAAAGCGGCAUCCUGGACCGGCAUUGACGCUGAGGAGCGAAAGCUAGGGGAGCAAACGGGAUUAGAUACCCCGGUAGUCCUAGCCCUAAACGAUGAAUGCU
Molecule: ribosomal RNA, 835 nt
Filed under: uncultured bacterium
Lineage: Bacteria
Description: bacterial SSU rRNA
Rfam family: Bacterial small subunit ribosomal RNA
Source: RNAcentral